Molecule: unclassified non-coding RNA, 240 nt
Filed under: soil metagenome
Description: partial contains 5.8S ribosomal RNA, internal transcribed spacer 2, and large subunit ribosomal RNA
Source: RNAcentral
AACAUCGCGCACCUGCGGGAACCUGCGGAAGGAUCAUUACAGAGUUGCAAAACUCCCUAAACCAUUGUGAACGUUACCUAAACCGUUGCUUCGGCGGGCGGCCCGGGUCCUUCCCGGCGCCCCUCGGCCCUCGCGGGCGCCCGCCGGAGGUAAACCAAACUAUUGCAUUGUAUGGCCUCUCUGAGUCUUCUGUACUGAAUAGGUCAAAACUUUCAACAACGGAUCUCAGAUCGGAAGAGC